AGAACGAACGCUGGCGGCAUGCCUAAUACAUGCAAGUCGAACGAACACUUCGGUGUUAGUGGCGCACGGGUGCGUAACGCGUGGGAAUCUGCCCUUGGGUUCGGAAUAACAGUUGGAAACGACUGCUAAUACCGGAUGAUGACGAAAGUCCAAAGAUUUAUCGCCCAGGGAUGAGCCCGCGUAGGAUUAGCUAGUUGGUAGGGUAAAGGCCUACCAAGGCUACGAUCCGUAACUGGUCUGAGAGGAUGAUCAGUCACACUGGAACUGAGACACGGUCCAGACUCCUACGGGAGGCAGCAGUGGGGAAUAUUGGACAAUGGGCGAAAGCCUGAUCCAGCAAUGCCGCGUGCAGGAAGAAGGCCUUCGGGUUGUAAACUGCUUUUGUACGGAACGAAACGGUCUGCUUAAUACAGUGGCUAAUGACGGUACCGUAAGAAUAAGCACCGGCUAACUACGUGCCAGCAGCCGC
RNAcentral lists this ribosomal RNA (469 nucleotides) under uncultured soil bacterium. RNAcentral's name for it is "bacterial SSU rRNA". It matches the Rfam family "Bacterial small subunit ribosomal RNA", at positions 26 to 518 of the family's 1533-position model. The record is from RNAcentral.